This is a non-coding RNA of Camellia sinensis, 521 nucleotides long. NCBI's taxonomy places the organism in Eukaryota, Viridiplantae, Streptophyta, Magnoliopsida, Ericales, Theaceae. The record is from RefSeq and is a predicted model, not a curated record.
ACAGAAAAAAAAAGAAGGGGUUCCCUGUUUUGUCCCCUGGGUUAUCUUCUCUCCUUGUCCACCGACUCGAACUCAUCGCUGGCACUCAAAAGCUCUCAUCCAGUCACAACUUCCUCCUCUGCCUACUCAACGAUCACUUCUCUCUUCGACACUGACCACCACAACCACUCCUCUUUCAAUUUCUCCGAUCAGCUCACAAGCUUUUGAUUUAAAGGUAGGGUCUCCGCACAUUGUAGUCUUCAGCAUACACUACGAGGCUAUGGUCUCUUGGCUUGGAGGCUAAAGAUGGAGGUUUCACCAUGGUGUUACAUUUGCCUGGGUGUUGCUACCUUAGGCUAGUCCUACACUUCUAUUGAGAGAGAGAUAGAGAGAGAGAGAGAGAGAUCUUGCCACUUAUACCGCCUCAUAUAAAAAUGUCUAAACAAGCUAACGAACUUCCCUUGAAAAUCCAAAUGAUUUAUGCCCAUGUGCUCACCUUUUAUAAAUAUAAGGUAUUACCAUCCUGCAUAAGUUAGAACAUA